UACGGGGGGGGCAAGCGUUGUUCGGAAUUCCUGGGCGUAAAGGGCUCGUAGGCGGCCAACUAAGUCAGACGUGAAAUCCCUCGGCUUAACCGGGGAACUGCGUCUGAUACUGGAUGGCUUGAGUUUGGGAGAGGGAUGCGGAAUUCCAGGUGUAGCGGUGAAAUGCGUAGAUAUCUGGAGGAACACCGGUGGCGAAGGCGGCGUCCUGGACCAACACUGACACUGAUGAGCGAAAGCCAGGGGAGCAAACGGG
This 253-nucleotide ribosomal RNA is filed under the name uncultured bacterium. RNAcentral's name for it is "partial 16S ribosomal RNA". It matches the Rfam family "Bacterial small subunit ribosomal RNA", at positions 524 to 776 of the family's 1533-position model. The record is from RNAcentral.